GAGGAGGCAGCAGAGACUCUGCUCUCCUCGUUUGGAUUAAUUCUGAUAUAAUAACUGUUGGUUUAUUUAUCGGUGGAGCAGCAGAACAUUUUCCACAGACAGUUUUCCUGCCCGUUGGCUUGUUUGAACCAGUUUUCUACCUUCGGCUGAUUCUACCAGCAGACACUGAAAGGACUCUGAUAGUUCGAGUGAAAGUAGCAGUUCCUCCUGAAGGUCAGAGAUUGCAGCAUCUGAGGGCCUCUUCAAAAGAAGACAUAGUUGAUGAAGGCGUUCUGGAGCAGGACCAGAAAGACCACGACCAAGCAGCCUUGAGAUCUUAGGCAGCGUCUCCCUCAGGUCCCUCUCUAUCUCCCCACACAUCCACCAACCACUGGAACACAUCUGCAAAGUUCUGCUGGACCAGCUCAGCUUCCCCUCAGAAGAAGUGCUGCCACCUGCCAGAUGAAGGAGCCUUUUGAGAGGCAGCUGGCAUCGUGAUUGGACUGUACUUUGGUCUGUUCCAAUCCAGCUUCAGCUCCAGAGACGGCAGGCGGAACGAGUCAACGGAGGCCGGGUGGAUGAAGGCAUGCAGCUGAGUAGCAUCGUAUGUGUCUUAGAAAACAUCAUAGUAUAGCCUUUGGUAUGAAAAAACGCCAUCAUAUACAUCGUAUAUUGUACAAAUAACAAGUCAAAGGAAAGAGACAUACAUUGUAGAAUUGUAGUAAUUGUGGGCUGACUGAUUUACUGAUUAUCAGUAUUUUAUUUUUUACUGAUUUACGGUAAUAAAUCAAUUUAAAAAUUGCGCUACUUUGGCUCUGAACAUUUAUCUACCUGUGGUUGCUCUGUCUUCUGGAGUGAUUUGAUUGGUUAUAUGUCACCAAUAAAACUCCUUUAACUUAACAUCUGUAAACAAAACAAAAACGUAUCAACAAAGUUUUCUGUUAGAGUUUGUGUUCUUCUAAGUUUAACUCCAAGAUUUUAAAUACUUUCAUUUACUGCAAAUAAAUAUCUACUCCAAAUGUCUCACUAAUAAUCAUUAUCAGCCUUAAAAACCCACAAAAUACCCCUCUAUACUCGACCACACUUAGUACAGUCCAGUUCCCCCUUCUAUAAAUCUGCUUGGAAUCUUCCACUUCCUGUUUGUCAAAGUGGCCUUCUACCUGGACAGGUUUGUUGGAGCUCAUGCAACAAACAUUUUGGGUAACUGCACUUUAAUAUGGAUGGAUGACACUGAAUUAGAGUCUGUUUUAAUGAGACUGAGUUAAGAUGUGUAGCUCUGUCAUUAAAUAGUAAAUUAUUUCUCAGAAUUCACAGAGAAAAGUCUGAAAUGUUUGCUAGGUUAGCGUCCCACAUGUUCUUUGGCUCAGCUAAAGCUAACUCUCUCCAACUUCUGGAUCUCUUGAGUUGCUUGUUGUUAAAAUAUCUUGCUAGAGGUGCUGAAGCUCAGAAAGUCUGAGGUGUUUGUUAGAAAAUAAGCUCAUUCUCAAGUCUGAUCUCAACUGUCCUGUUUUGUUUGAACUUUCCCUAAACUUAGGAGUUAAUGACAGAGCAGCACAUCCAGACUCAGUCUCAUUUAUGUAGAGAUUAAACUUCAGUGUCAUUCAUUGAUGUUAAAGUGCAGUUUUUCAAAUGUUUGUUGCACAUGCUCCCAACCAAACCAGUCCAGGUGGAAGACGAUGUGAAGAGAAAGCUCCAGAGGAUGAAUAUCACACAUUUACAUUGGAAAUAAAUGUCCUUUAAUUAGACAUUGUCAUGCAAAAGUUGGAUUUCCCUUUAAUGAUGUUCAAAUCUUUGUUGAGUGUUUUGUUGAUGUUGGUUUCUAAAUGUUUUUUGACACUCGGCCCCAAAGAUUAAAACCUUUUACGGCUCACAAGCUGCAACAAUUCACACAUUAUCAACUAUCUUUCUGACUAAACUAAGAUAAAAAGUGAAAAACUGUCUGAUUCCUGCAUAAUGAAUGUAAAUCUUUUUGAUUUUUAUGACAGUAAACUGAAUAUAUUUGGGUCUGAUAUUUUAUAAACCAAAACAAGAGAUGAAUUACUGGAGAAAACAAUGAACAGAUUAAUGGACAAAGAAAAUGUGUUUUUCAACAUAUAUGGCUGAAUUACUCCAACAUUACAAGAUACAUACAAUUUUAAUUCGAUUUUAUUUAUAUAACUCCAAUUACAGGUAAAAUUGUCUCAAGACGCUUCAUUUUUAUAUUUUUUUGUCAUAUUUAAAAUAUAACAAAGUAAGCUAUUUAAUCCUCUUGACUAAUCCAAUUUAUUAUUUGUUUUUUAAGAGACUAAUCGACAACUAAAAUAACUGUCUCCACUAAAACUAAUAAACAUGAGGUCAAAUGGAAGGAAGCGUUUUAAAUACUAAGAAUAAAGUUUGUCAACAAAAACUAAAUCUGCUGGUGGAUUCCAUUAAAGUCCUAAUAAAUGAUAAUAAAGUGUGAUACUAAAGGUUUGUGGUGCUAAAAAUCUCCAAGUAAAGAUAUCAAGUUGAACAUCUGGACAGAGGUUGAUAAAAGUUGACCUCCCUUCAUUUCUCUGAAGCGACUCCAUGGAUUUUAUGGAUGGUGGUUAAAGACCUGCUCUUCUAGUGGUCUUCCUUCUAGUUGCUGUAAAAAGUCAGUCCAUCCUGGCCGACUUCAACACCUCUUCAUGACAACUUGUUCUGCCUCCGACCUGGUGGAAAC
Molecule: long non-coding RNA, 2662 nt
Organism: Amphiprion ocellaris (clown anemonefish)
Lineage: Eukaryota; Metazoa; Chordata; Actinopteri; Pomacentridae
Exons: 3
Source: RefSeq, a predicted model, not a curated record